Acipenser ruthenus (sterlet) is the source of this 265-nucleotide long non-coding RNA. RefSeq lists it as uncharacterized. Lineage: Eukaryota; Metazoa; Chordata; Actinopteri; Acipenseriformes; Acipenseridae. The transcript has 3 exons. The record is from RefSeq and is a predicted model, not a curated record.
UUAAUCUACCAAGCACAAGAGAGAUAGGAAUAAUAUGCCACACCGGUGUCACUACGGAAUACACAACAACCUUCUGUGCGUAACGCAGAGGUGAAAAGUAAGCAGAACUCGAAGUCACUCAGGUCCCGCUCACGUGACUUAGGACGACAGAGGGGUGAUCGCCAUGGUAACCAUCACUCCUGCAGCUUGCAACGCUGACUGUGAAAGGAUCAGUCAUCGGAAUUGAAACAAUCGGCAUGGCGUGCUCAGCACAAGUCCCUGGGAG